CCUACGGGAGGCAGCAGUGGGGAAUAUUGGGCAAUGGGCGCAAGCCUGACCCAGCCACGCCGCGUGAAGGAAGAAGGCUUUCGGGUUGUAAACUACUUUCGACAGGGAAGAGUAGAAUACGGUACCUGUCGAAUAAGCCACGCCUAACUACGUGCCGGCAGACGCGGUAAUACGGUGGCUCCGAGCGUUAUUCGGAUGUAUUGGGAUUAAAGGGAGCGUAGUUGGGUUGUUAAGUCAGUUGUGAAAGUUUGCGGCUCAACCGUGGAACUGCAAGUGAUACUGGCAGGCUUGAGUAUCGUAGAGGGAGGCAGAAUUCGAGGUGUAGCGGUGAAAUGCGUAGAUAUCACGAAGAACUCCGAUGGCGAAGGCAGCUUCCUAAACGGACACUGACGUUGAGGUGCGAAAGUGUGGGGAUCAAACAGGAUUAGAUACCCCGGUAGUC
RNAcentral lists this ribosomal RNA (442 nucleotides) under uncultured bacterium. RNAcentral's name for it is "partial 16S ribosomal RNA". It matches the Rfam family "Bacterial small subunit ribosomal RNA", at positions 338 to 795 of the family's 1533-position model. The record is from RNAcentral.